This 94-nucleotide non-coding RNA is filed under the name uncultured Dysosmobacter sp. RNAcentral describes it as "yjdF RNA". It matches the Rfam family "azaaromatic riboswitch aptamer (yjdF RNA)", at positions 6 to 91 of the family's 101-position model. The record is from RNAcentral. Lineage: Bacteria; Bacillati; Bacillota; Clostridia; Eubacteriales; Oscillospiraceae.
CAGAGAUAAAAACACGUCCCGGUUGGUAGUCCGGGAGUGCCUUUUUCGGGGAAAAGGCACAAGUAACCUGCCUCCUUUGGUUGUCCGUUCUCUG